This 200-nucleotide unclassified non-coding RNA is filed under the name soil metagenome. RNAcentral's name for it is "partial contains 5.8S ribosomal RNA, internal transcribed spacer 2, and large subunit ribosomal RNA". The record is from RNAcentral.
AUUCCGAAGGGUAUGCCUGUUUGAGUGUCAUGAAUACUCCAACCGCCGGUUUUGCCGACGGAGUGGGACUUGGGCGUUGCUUCUGCUCGCCUUAAAUGAAUGCUCGUGAGAUGUUAUAAGUCUCGUCUCUACCGAGCCCCGCCUUUGGGCAACUUUUUCAUUUUGACCUCAAAUCAGGUAGGACUACCCGCUGAACUUAA